This 497-nucleotide ribosomal RNA is filed under the name uncultured bacterium. RNAcentral's name for it is "partial 16S ribosomal RNA". It matches the Rfam family "Bacterial small subunit ribosomal RNA", at positions 28 to 507 of the family's 1533-position model. The record is from RNAcentral.
GAUGAACGCUGGCGGCGUGCCUAAUACAUGCAAGUCGAGCGAAGAGAUGAGGCGUUUUCUCCUCUGACGUUGGCGGCGGACGGGUGAGUCACCCGUGGAUAACCUACCUAUAAGAAUGGGAUAACUACGGGGAACCGGAGCUAAUACCCGAUAAUAUAUUGAACAGGGUUGAUCAAUCGUGAAAGACGGUUUUGCUGUCACUUAUAGAUGGCUCCGCGCCGCAUUAGCUAGUUGGUAAGGUAACGGCUUACCAAGGCUACGAUGCGUAGACGGCCCGAGAGGGUGAUCCGCCACACUGGAACUGAGACACGUUCCAGACUCCUACAGGAGGAAGCAGUAGGGAAUCUUACGCAAUGGACGAAAGCCUAAUGUAGCAACGCCGGGGGAGUGAUGAAGGUCUUAGGAUGGGAAAACGCUGUAAGUAGGGAGGAAGAAAAGUGUAUUUACCCAUGCUCGUAUUGACGGUACCGAGAGAAAAAGCCCCGGCUAACUACGUG